This 132-nucleotide small RNA is filed under the name Escherichia coli. RNAcentral describes it as "RtT sRNA". It matches the Rfam family "RtT RNA". Rfam says of the family: This family represents a bacterial cis-regulatory element known as RtT RNA. The exact function of RtT is unknown although it is thought that it may be involved in changing the cellular response in relation to amino acid starvation. Lineage: Bacteria; Pseudomonadati; Pseudomonadota; Gammaproteobacteria; Enterobacterales; Enterobacteriaceae. The record is from RNAcentral.
AUUCUGCCCAUGCGGGGAAGGAUGAGAAGCUUCGACAAAGGUUCGACUUGAGCGCCAGCGAGAGAGCGUUGCCGCAGGCAACGACCCGAAGGGCGAAGCGCGCAGCGCUGAGUAAUCCUUCCCCCACCACCA